CAGCCGCCGCGGUAAGACAGAGGAUGCAAGCGUUAUCCGGAAUGAUUGGGCGUAAAGCGUCUGUAGGUGGCUUUUCAAGUCCGCCGUCAAAUCCCAGGGCUCAACCCGAAGUCUGCACGGGAAACUACUGGGCUUGAGUAAUGGAGAGGUGAGUGGAGUUUCCGGUGUAGCGGUGAAAUGCGUAGAUAUCGGAAGGAACACCUGUGGCGAAAGCGGCUCACUGGACGUUUACUGACGCUGAUGCACGAAAGCUAGGGGAGCAAACAGGAUUAGAUACCCCGGUAGUCCCUGUCUCUUAUAC
RNAcentral lists this ribosomal RNA (301 nucleotides) under uncultured bacterium. RNAcentral describes it as "partial 16S ribosomal RNA". It matches the Rfam family "Bacterial small subunit ribosomal RNA", at positions 509 to 807 of the family's 1533-position model. The record is from RNAcentral.